CCUACGGGGGGCAGCAGUGGGGAAUAUUGCACAAUGGGCGCAAGCCUGAUGCAGCGACGCCGCGUGGGGGAUGACGGCCUUCGGGUUGUAAACUCCUUUCGCCAGGGACGAAGCGUAAGUGACGGUACCUGGAUAAGAAGCACCGGCUAACUACGUGCCAGCAGCCGCGGUAAUACGUAGGGUGCGAGCGUUGUCCGGAAUUACUGGGCGUAAAGAGCUCGUAGGUGGUUUGUCGCGUCGUUUGUGUAAGUCCACGGCUUAACUGUGGGACUGCAGGCGAUACGGGCAUAACUUGAGUGCUGUAGGGGAGACUGGAAUUCCUGGUGUAGCGGUGAAAUGCGCAGAUAUCAGGAGGAACACCGAUGGCGAAGGCAGGUCUCUGGGCAGUAACUGACGCUGAGGAGCGAAAGCAUGGGUAGCGAACAGGAUUAG
Molecule: ribosomal RNA, 432 nt
Filed under: uncultured bacterium
Lineage: Bacteria
Description: bacterial SSU rRNA
Rfam family: Bacterial small subunit ribosomal RNA
Source: RNAcentral